UACGUAGGGUGCAAGCGUUGUCCGGAAUUAUUGGGCGUAAAGAGCUCGUAGGCGGUUUGUUGCGUCGGCUGUGAAAUCCCGAGGCUCAACCUCGGGUCUGCAGUCGAUACGAGCAGACUAGAGUGUUGCAGGGGAGACUGGAAUUCCUGGUGUAGCGGUGAAAUGCGCAGAUAUCAGGAGGAACACCGGUGGCGAAGGCGGGUCUCUGGGCAACAACUGACGCUGAGGAGCGAAAGCGUGGGGAGCGAACAGG
Molecule: ribosomal RNA, 253 nt
Filed under: uncultured bacterium
Lineage: Bacteria
Description: partial 16S ribosomal RNA
Rfam family: Bacterial small subunit ribosomal RNA
Source: RNAcentral